AUGGGCAUCACAACAAAAGUACGAUCAGAGGGAAAGAUAGUGCAUGCGUUAGCAUCAUCUGGUACUGCGGCUUUGCUGCUCCAAGGUGGAAGAACAUCGCACUCAAGAUUCCACAUUCCAAUAAAUAUCACAUCAGAAUCAACAUGUGAAAUAAAGCAAGGCUCACAUUUGGCUGAACUGGUAAAGAAGACCUUAUUAAUACUGUGGGACGAGGCUCCUAUGGCAAACAAACACUGUUUUGAGGCACUAGACAAAAGCCUUUGGGAUAUUCUAAGGUUCACAAACCAAAAUAGUGAUGAAAGACCAUUUGGUGUGGCAUGA
Molecule: ribosomal RNA, 321 nt
Filed under: Triticum aestivum (bread wheat)
Lineage: Eukaryota; Viridiplantae; Streptophyta; Magnoliopsida; Poales; Poaceae
Description: partial small subunit ribosomal RNA
Source: RNAcentral